This 468-nucleotide ribosomal RNA is filed under the name uncultured bacterium. RNAcentral describes it as "partial 16S ribosomal RNA". It matches the Rfam family "Bacterial small subunit ribosomal RNA", at positions 28 to 507 of the family's 1533-position model. The record is from RNAcentral.
GACGAACGCUGGCGGCGUGCUUAACACAUGCAAGUCGAACGGAAAGGCCCUGCUCUUGUGGGGUGCUCGAGUGGCGAACGGGUGUGUAUCACGUGAGUAACCUGCCCUUUUCUUUGGGAUAACUCCAGGAGACUCGGGCUAUUACCGCAUAUGAGCUCUUUCUGCAUGGUGUGGGUUGUAAAGUUUCGGCGGUUCGGGAUGGACUCGCGGCUUAGCAGCUUGUUGGUGAGGUAGUGGCUUACCAAUGCUUUGACGGGUAGCCGGCCUGAGAGGGUGACCGGGCACAAAGGGACUGAGAAACGGCCAAGAGGCAUACGGGAGGCAGGAGUGGAGAAUAUUGCACAAUGGGCGGAAGCCUGAAGGAGCGACUCCGGGUGCGGGAUGACGGCUGUCGGGGUGUAAACCGCGUGCGCGUGUGAAGAAGAGUGAGUGACGGUAAUGAGUAAAGAAGCAACGGCUAACUACGUG